GACGAACGCUGGCGGCGUGCUUAACACAUGCAAGUCGAACGAGGUCCAACCAGUGGCAACACUGGGGAAAACCUAGUGGCGAACGGGUGAGUAACACGUGAGAAACCUACCCUGAAGACUGGGAUAAGCCCCCGAAAGGGGGUCUAAUACCGGAUACCCCCUCCAUGUCGCAUGGCGAGGAGAGGAAAGGUCAGCCGCUUCAGGACGGUCUCGCGGUCUAUCAGCUUGUUGGUGAGGUAACGGCUCACCAAGGCGACGACGGAUAGCUGGUCUGAGAGGACGAUCAGCCACACUGGGACUGAGACACGGCCCAGACUCCUACGGGAGGCAGCAGUGGGGAAUCUUGCGCAAUGGGCGAAAGCCUGACGCAGCAACGCCGCGUGCGGGAUGAAGGCCUUCGGGUUGUAAACCGCUUUCAGUAGGGACGAAAACAGACGGUACCUACAGAAGAAGCACCGGCCAACUACGUGCCAGCCGCCGCCGUAAAAC
RNAcentral lists this ribosomal RNA (489 nucleotides) under uncultured bacterium. RNAcentral's name for it is "bacterial SSU rRNA". It matches the Rfam family "Bacterial small subunit ribosomal RNA", at positions 28 to 526 of the family's 1533-position model. The record is from RNAcentral.